GACGUAGGGCGCAAGCGUUGUCCGGAUUUAUUGGGCGUAAAGAGCUCGUAGGCGGCCUGUCGCGUCGACCGUGAAAACCCGCAGCUCAACUGCGGGCUUGCGGUCGAUACGGGCAGGCUGGAGUUCGGUAGGGGAGACUGGAAUUCCUGGUGUAGCGGUGAAAUGCGCAGAUAUCAGGAGGAACACCGGUGGCGAAGGCGGGUCUCUGGGCCGAUACUGACGCUGAGACGCGAAAGCGUGGGGAGCGAACAGG
Molecule: ribosomal RNA, 253 nt
Filed under: uncultured bacterium
Lineage: Bacteria
Description: partial 16S ribosomal RNA
Rfam family: Bacterial small subunit ribosomal RNA
Source: RNAcentral